AUUGAACGCUGGCGGCGUGCCUAACACAUGCAAGUCGAUCGGUAACAGGUGUAGCAAUACAUGCUGACGAGAGGCGGACGGGUGAGUAACGCUUGGGAAUCUGCCUAUUAGUGGGGGACAACCCGGGGAAACUCGGGCUAAUACCGCAUACGCUCUACGGAGGAAAGCCGGGGACCGCAAGGCCUGGCGCUAAUAGAUGAGCCCAAGUCGGAUUAGCUAGUUGGUAGGGUAAUGGCCUACCAAGGCGACGAUCCGUAGCUGGUCUGAGAGGACGACCAGCCACACUGGGACUGAGACACGGCCCAGACUCCUACGGGAGGCAGCAGUGGGGAAUAUUGGACAAUGGGGGAAACCCUGAUCCAGCGACGCCGCGUGGGUGAAGAAGGCCUGCGGGUUGUAAAGCCCUUUCGGUGGGGAAGAAAAGCCUCGGACCUAACACGUCGGGGUAUUGACGUAACCCACAAAAGAAGCACCGGCUAACUCUGUGCCAGCAGCCGCGG
Molecule: ribosomal RNA, 500 nt
Filed under: uncultured bacterium
Lineage: Bacteria
Description: bacterial SSU rRNA
Rfam family: Bacterial small subunit ribosomal RNA
Source: RNAcentral